Molecule: long non-coding RNA, 7759 nt
Organism: Alexandromys fortis (reed vole)
Lineage: Eukaryota; Metazoa; Chordata; Mammalia; Rodentia; Cricetidae
Exons: 4
Source: RefSeq, a predicted model, not a curated record
UCCUGGCCGGCGUGGGUCUCUGGGGAUGUGGAAAGCAUGGGGGCGGAGGGGGGGGGGAAAGACUGCCAUUCGGCGUGGGGACUGUGGAGGCCAGGGGAAGGCUAGAAUUCCCACCACAGCUUGAAUUAGACGUACUAACCAAGUGACAGAACACCCACGCUUGUUUACUCAGCCCCAAACUGGGGGGCUGUUGCUAUGGAAAACGCCACGCUGGAGCUCUAGAACACCUCCCUAACAGUAAACUGAAAACUCCAUUGUCAUCCCGAGGUCACUGCAGAGAGAGCGGUGCCGGCAUGGACGCAUGGGAACAGGGAGGCUGUCAAAUCAUAUGACAUUCCCAUGGAGCACCCCCUGCUCAUCUGCCUUGUGCAAAUGUUAGGCCUUGAGGAAUGACUGCAGGUUAUGGGAUCUUAACUCCCUGGUGACUCCCUCUCCAGCUGUUGUUGCAGAUGUGAAAGCUUUCUGUGGUAAAUCAACAGGGCUUGUGGCACUUGGAGUGGAUCUGAGAACCUGAAAAUGGACCCUUCUCUUUAUCAGUUAAUUGGACUUCCAGAAAUAGCUUGCUUUAAUCUGACGGGGACAUCUGUAUACCUGUGCCCUUUUCCCUCAGGGCCACAUGAACUUCAAGCCCUAUUAUGAUCAAUCCAUAAGGAUUUUCAUUAUUUUGUUGUCCCACAGGAAACAUCAUGCUGACUGGACUUGGUAAUACAGUCACACAGACACACACACCCCAGAUGGCACAGUAAGGCCUGCCUGUGUCACAGGCUAAAGGGUCUCUCACUGAAGCUGGAGGUCACUGUUUGGGGACCCCUAGAGGCCAUCUGCCUGCCUGCCCCAGUGUGAGAGUUACAGGACUUUGGGUUCUGUCUUUCAUCCUAGUCUCAGGUCACGCCCCUCCUAACACUUCCUAUAGAGGUCUACAGGUAAGGAGAGUUCAUUUAGCUUUUGCUUAUCUUGAAAUGCUUCGUUUCUCCCUUACCACAGAAAGACGGUUUGUGUGUGUGUGUGUGUGUGUGUGUGUGUGUACACCUGUGAAUACAGGAUCUACGGGGGCCAGACAGCACUGAAUUCCCUGUAGCUGGAGUCCAGCAGGCCAUUGAAAGCUCCUGGGUGUGGCUGCUAGGAAUAGAGACUGGGUCCUCUCAAGGGUAGCAUUCCUCUAGCAUCCUGAAGGGCAGCUUUGCAGGACAAGGGACUCCUGGUAGGCAGGUUUUUCUUUUAGCACUCUGAAUAUGUCAGACUUCUGCCUUCUAGCUGCCAAAGUCAAGAAUCAUCUGAUGCUCUUACUAAGACUCCGUCAUGUGAAGGGUCAUUUCCCUGGUACCGGUUUCAAACUUCUCUUUAUCUUUGACAUGAAUUAUAGUGUGUGUAUCAAGUUCACUGGGCUUCACGGAUGCUUAUAUUCAUAUAAAGCUUAGGAACUUAUUAUAGGGUCAUUAUUUCUUCAAAUAAUAUCUCUCUCUCCCUCCCUGCCUGCCUUGUUCCUCCCGCCUCUCCUUUCCUCCUCCCUCCCUCCCUCCCUCCCUCUCUCCCUCCCUCCCUUCUUUCCUCUCCUCUUCCCUCUCCUAGCUUGCCCCUCUUCCUCUUCCAGAGCUUCCAUAGAACACAGAUUGAUUUGCUUGACAGUAUCUUCAGGUCCCUCUGACGUGAUAAGCCUGCCUGUGGACUCCUCUGAUCACCUUUUCACUUCAAUACUUGGUACAGUUUUUGUUUCUUCUCAGGCUCUCACUCUUUGAUACUCAUAUUUUGCUUGUACAUCAUUUUCCUGACUUUCCCCUUGUCUUCUUGGCUCUUUUGGCAUCUUUACCAUCGUUGAAAUUUCUCUCUAGGAGAUCUUCCUUUAGAUUUUCCUGAGAGAUCCAAACAGCUUCAAGGCUGCUGGCUGAGAUGGUCUAGCCUCACAGACUAUUCUAAUCAGGACUUGACUUAACCAUUACCUAAUUUUCUCAGGGUCCCCCAAAGAUACCAAUGCUCCCAAACAACAGAAAGCAGUCUAGAAAACACAAUUUCUAUAUUCCUGAGAGGUGGGGUGUAUGGUUUUUGAAUAUUUGGUGGGUAAUGAAUGUUUAUCAUUGUUUAAGGGGGUUGGUUACAAAUUGUUAUUGGUCAUGGUUAAAAAACUAAACAAAGGACAUUAGAUUCAGGGAUCUCUUUUUGAAGAAAAAAGGGAGCUAUAGUAUAAAAAUGAUGAGAUAAAAGGGUGGAUUGUAGAGUCUACUUUUGAAUGACCAGUAGUCUCAAAUACUUUACAUUGGUAUGGAUUUUUGUACAGUAAUACAAAUUUAAGGUUAUUUUUAUUAGAACAUACAAUACUUACAACAUUUCUCCUCUUAUUUAAGGCAUUGCACCAAUGCAGCUCAUUUAACAAUGCAAUGUAAAUUUUUAGUUUUUGAAACUUAUUAAAAACUACUUAGGAUAAUAAAGAAAUACAGGUUAGUAGUUAGUCACCUAUAACAAUCAAACUUUUAGCUAGGCAGUAGUGGUGCACUCCUUUAGUCCCAGCACUCGGGAGGCAGAGGCAGGUGGAUCUCUGUGAGUUUGAGGCCAGCCUGGUCUGCAAAAGCUAUUUCCAGGACAGGCUCCAAAGCUAUACAGAGAAACCCUGUCUCAAAAAACCAAAAGAAUGAAACAAAACAAAAACAAAAAACAAAAAGCAAAAAUACUUUUAGUCAUGUAUGUUUUCAAGAUCAAACAUAUAUUUUAAAUAGAUAGAUGGUCUUCAAACACUUCAAAGACCUACAGAAUAUGACAUUUAAAACUUUUUGUUAACAUAGGACUUUUCAUAACAGUGAGACGCAUCUGCUCCUGGCAGCAUCAAUUGCCUUCAGAGAUGAUGGGCAUUGAAGAAACUCCAUAUGGAGUCUGCUUUCAAUGUGGCAAAACUGGCCAUUUGGGCAAGAAACUUAACUGCUGACAGUAUGCUGUACAAACUGGACAACAGGACACAAAGGAGAAAGACUGUUUAACUUUCCUACAGUAAGGCAGGAAAGUCCUUUAAAAAUUCCUGCUUCAUAGAAGAGUCUGCCAGAUAUUCCAGGUUUGUACUCCUAAGGUUGGAUGCCCCAGCAUUGCAGAAGAACCUUGAGUGACUGUCCAGGUGUCUCAUUUCUAUAGGUUUGGAAAUGGCUUUCACUAUAAUCACUGUUUACUCAGGUAAUAUUAUUUCUUCUGGGGUCUUUGAUAGAGUUGAAGACGAGGUAGCCAUAGUUGCAAUUUUCCUUAGUUAUGACAGAAGGUAAAUUAGGUACAGAGCUUUGGACUCAUCAAGAUAGAAUAAAUAAUGGAGCAUUUUCUCCAGAUAUGCCAAAUACAAAUGGGCUGGACAUUGUAAAUGCAAUUCUUACCUGAUAAUGUUCUUUUUAUUUAUAGUUUUAUUAUGUUACCCAUUCCUUUUUACUUAGACAAGAAGGGAGGAAAGCUGUGGAAUAGUCCUUUACACUGUGUGAAGUUAUGUCACUGUGAUUAGCUUAAUCAAAAAGCUAAAUAGUCCAUAGCUAGACAGGAGCUUGGGGGCAGAGAGGACCCUGGGAAGAAGGCAGAGUCACCAGUCAGGCAUGACAACACCAGGAAGGGUACAAUAGAAAUGAGGUAAUGAGCACAUGGAAGAAUGUAGAUUAAAAAUAGGGCUAAUUUAAGUUAUAAGAGCUAGUUAGGAACAAGCCUAGGCUAAGGUCGAGCUUUCAUGAUUAGUAAUAAAUCUCCAUGCCAUUUUUGUGAGCUGGCAGCCCAAAGAAGAAUCUGCCUACAAAGAUGACUGCAGCAAUUGUGACUAUUUUGUUACAUUUUCUUCUUGUUUUAUAGACACAUGAGUGUGUGCAUGUGCACUGCAGAUAUAAGCCGCUAGGUGAUCACUGACUUCAUAACUUAGUUUUUGGUUAUAAAACAUCCACAAGUGGUUUUUUUUUUUCUGAGACAGUCUCACUGUGUACCCCAGGCUGACCUCAAAUUCACAGUGUAGCUCAGGCUAGCACUGAACUCUCAUCCUCCGCCUUUCUCUUCCAAGCGAUUACAGGCAAUGCUACCAUGCCUGGCUCCUACAUUUCUAUGGAAGUAGUCGUUCAGAGAUAGAUACAGAAGCUGAUGGAACUACAUGUCAGCAUGUUGUGGAGUAGGGAGAGUGUCUUCAAAUGUCAGUUUCAUGAAGCCUAUGGUGGUUGUUACUGUUGUGUGGGAAUGAAAUAUAGAGAGGAGAGAGACACUAGGGCUCCAAGGGUGGAUGUGCCAGUCAUCUGGCUCCAUGCCCUCAGCCUUCACCCCUUCCCUCUGUGCUCAGCUCUGCAUGGCAGACUUAACUAUGCAUGCCAAACUGACUUUUUAACCUGGCUUCUAGCGCAGUGCUAUCAAUUGAAGGGACGGGUAAGACUCUGCCAACCCAGGAAAGUGGGGGCAAAUCUUCCGCCCGGCUUCAUACAGCAGCAGCGUGGGAACAGAGACGGUGGUGAGUGUCCAGGCAGCAGGGCUAGAAUGAGCAGCGGCCUCUCUACAAGUCCAGGUGCAGACUCCCGGCUCCCAGCAGCUGAGUGUCAGCCCUCCUUCCUUUGUUCUUCCACAUCCCUCUUCUCCAUUUGCCCCAGAAGUGUCCUAAGAUUUAUAUAAUGGAUUCUCUCUACUUAUCAUUGGUGAGGCUGGAGGUGGAAUAAAGGCUUGCUGGUUCUGAGUUUUAAAAGAGCCCUUAUCUCUAGGAGCACAUAUUGAAUAUUUAUAGAUGACACAUGAAUCUUCUGAUUCAUUUGUGAGCAGAGUUAUUUAUAGCUGGGUACAUUUUUCUUAAGAAUAAUCUACAAUAGGGCAUGAGGGGGGUAUAGCUGUAACAGACUGGCCAUGACCUCACAAUUGUCUGGUGCUAACUACUGGGUGGCAGGGGCAUGGGAACCCAUCUUACCACUUACUCUCCUUCCGUUACGUAGUUUGUCCUCUGUGGUGACAAACACCCACGAAAAGCAACUUAUCUAUGUUUUUUUAUGUUUGAGUUUUGUCGACACUUAUGUCUGUACCCCAGAAGAUGGUAUCAGAUAGUUGUGAGACACCAUCUGAGGGCUGGGAGUUGAACUCAGGUCCUCUGUGAGAGAAGCCAGUGCUCUUACCCACUGAGCCAUCGCUCCACGGAAAAGCAACUUACAGGGAAGAACCAUUUCUUUUAGCUACUGGCUUCAGUUGGGAUCCUUUACUCUCUUGAGUCUGAGCUUGAGAUGGACUCAUGCGACUGGAGUCUAUGGCAGAGGUUACCAAUCUCAGGGAGAGACAAGGAUGGGAGGGGGUACAAGAUCCCCCACGGACCUUCCCAGGAAAUGACUUCCUGUAGCCAGGCCUCCCUUCCUAAACUUCCUGUCCCUCCCACAACAGCCCUAUCGCGUAUAAAUCAUUUGAGGGCAUAUUACAAAGUCAAACCAUAGCUUUCCUUUUAGAUAUUUCUGAAAUUUUCCACAGUAAAAAUACCAAUGGUGAUCUCUCUGUACUCAGAGCAAGCAAAUUCUCAAUUGCAAUACUUUUUUGUGAGUCUGACUGAGACACGUCCUAUCAUGGAGAAAGCCCAGCUUCAAAUGUAGUCAGCACAAAGGCAAGCAAAACUGUGUGCAAGCCAUAGACACCCUAAGAGAAGUUCCUCGUGACACCAGAACCCAGCACACAAAUCCAGCAGAUUCAUUUGAAGGCCUUUUCAGAUUUAUAACCCCCUUCCCUUUCCUUCUUAAAAAUAUAUAUUUUUAAUAUGUAUAGGUGCUUCAUGUAUGUCUGCCCACCAUGUGUAUGCAGUGCCCAAGGAGGCCAGAAGAGGGCACUGACCUAUGGAACUGGAGUUACAGAUGAUUGUUAGCUGCUACGUGGGUGUUGAGAACUAAGCCAGGUCCUUGAUGCAAGAGAAACAAGGAGCCCUUGCAAAUCACAGAGACGAGAACAAACGACCGGUCCAGAGAUUUCCUUCUCUCAUCUCUAUUCUGCAUCCUAAAAUGAGUCUGUUUUCUUCUGUCGAUAAAUUCUUUUGACUAAUACGGGGUCUGGAGGAUAAAUAACCCUCAUCAGAUGCAAUCAGACUGUAAAGGGGGGGGCACAUACAAGAUCAGUCAUGAUGAACAUUAGAUCCCGGGCUAGCUGUUCAGAGCCAAAGCUGUGACCACAUUCCUCUGGGUGGCCGCUGGCACUUGUGGCGUGUUUGGGGUAUGUGGGAGGAGGAAGACACGAUCCAUGGCACUAUAUGCAGUUCUCAGGAGAUCAGUGACUGUUCUCUGAAAAGGUCAAACAACAGUGGAAGUCCAUAGGGGCAGCUGGGCCUGGCGGCCAGAGAAAUGACUCCUUGGAUCUCUACUGUCGAGGAUGCACCUCCCACUGUCAGCACCAAAAUAUCAUACAGAACGAGGCUCUAACAUAGCUCCAAACUGCAUCAGUUACUUCUUAUUUUGGAUUUUAUUGGACUUUGACAGUUUGCCUACUGAAUAAGUCCCAAGUCAGAGCAAACUUCAGUGUCAUCUUCAGUGUGACUAGAACCAUGGGAAAGUCAGCCCUACAUCAAGCACUAGACGCUUUCAGAAUGUGAGGACACAGCGUACGUCUGGGGAAGAUGCCCAUUCCAACAUGCUAAAUUUUUCCAAACUGUGGCGUAGAAAGGCCGUCAACUCCUUGACAUGUUGACAUGUUCCCUUCUACAGAGGAGACAAGUGAGGCACACGUGAAGCAGAUUUAAGCUAGCAAAGCUUACAACACGUAGACAUGCUGCUAAGGCGUGGGUGGAAAGGCUCUCCUUUUAGGCCUGCACAAAGGGAGGGGUGCAUUGCUCAGGGAGAGACUGAGCCUGGCCAGGUGGCUGAGCCCCCCUUCUGGCACUGUUCUCCAGUCCAUGUGGGACUCUCAAGUAGUGACACAAACUUCAUUCCCUUGUUUAAAAAAAAAAAAGUGGCCCUCUAGUCUAUCCAAGUCACAGGAGGUGAUAAAGUAUGAAGAGAUGCAGACCAGAUUUCCUAUUCCAAGGUCCUGAGAACAAGCAUGGAUGUGCAUGCACACAGAACGUACUGUUUAGUCCAUCCUCACCUCUAGGUCUAGGGAAUAGAUGUACAGCCUGUAUUACCCCAGUCCACUGGGACCACCCUAGCUUACAAGUCAGGUGUGUUUUGGUAGUGGUCCAUAAUGUCUCUUCAUCUUACUGCAGCUGGCUCUUAAUCUCUACAGCUCUUCAGACACCUAAGGAGAUACAUCUGCUAUGAAGCUCCUCCUCCUAUGAUACUCCAUUGACACUCACUUUUCUAUAGACUCUCCUGCACGUGAAUAACCCUAGGCACUUAUAUCCCAGAAUCAUACAUGUUGGCUAUAGUUACCUAUCUACCACAAGUACCACUAUUACCACCAUCAUCACCACCAUCACCAUCAUCACCUGUUGGGAGCAGUGAGACCCAAGAUCCUGAAUUUCUUGUAAACAACUUGUUUUCCCCUGAUCUGAGUGCCUACAGCUGCUCUGAGCACGAGACCUUCAGGAGUUCCUGAUGGCAGGAGAGUGGUUUCUGGUGGGUUUGGCUGGGGCGUGGCUAUCUCUAUAUAAUCUGCCCCUGAACACAAUAAAGAGGGCAUUCUUGGGGAAUUCAAGGAUGACCCGUAUCACUGUCUCUCUGUCUGUGUGUGUCUGUGUAUUUUAACCUCCAGCCCCUUGCCUGAAGCUUGGUAACUGGGUGCCAGCGCACAGAGCGCAGAUAUGGGGGCACGGUGCGCGGCAAUCACAAUCACCACCAUUAUCACCAUCAUCAUUAUCACCGUCAUCAUCAUCACCACCAUCAUC